RNAcentral lists this ribosomal RNA (415 nucleotides) under uncultured Bacteroidota bacterium. RNAcentral's name for it is "bacterial SSU rRNA". The record is from RNAcentral. Lineage: Bacteria; Pseudomonadati; Bacteroidota.
GAGUUUGAUCAUGGCUCAGGAUGAACGCUAGCGGCAGGCUUAAUACAUGCAAGUCGAGGGGCAGCAGCUUUAUAGCAAUAUAGAGGCUGGCGACCGGCAAACGGGUGCGGAACACGUACACAACCUUCCUUGAAUAGGGGGAUAGCCCAUAGAAAUGUGGAUUAAUACCCCGUAAUAUAGCGGUGUGGCAUCACACUGUUAUUAUAGUUUCGGCGAUUCGAGAUGGGUGUGCGGCUGAUUAGGUAGUUGGCGGGGUAAAGGCCCACCAAGCCUUCGAUCAGUAGCUGAUGUGARAKCAUGAUCAGCCACACGGGCWCUGAGACACGGGCCCGACUCCUAYGGGAGGCAGCAGUAAGGAAUAUUGGUCAAUGGACGCAAGUCUGAACCAKCCAUGCCSCGUGAARGAUGAAKGUCC